AUGCAGGAUGAAAUCCUUUACGGCAAGAUUCUUAUUACCAAUGAUUACAAGGUAGCCACCUCUAUCCUGGAGAAGACAUGGAAGCCCAAAUUUGAUGUUGAGAAGGAAAAAAGUAGAUGGCUGAACAGUGGAACAUCUAGCCUCCCACUUGGCAAGAACAACUUGAUAAGGUUAUCUGAAAACCAAGAUUACACACACCCUGAGUUUUUGGAUAGACAUGAGCAAGUUGAUUAUGAUGUUAUCUUUUCUGCAUCGCAUGGACGCCCUGCACUGCCCCCACCAGGAUUGCGCUGCCUUGCCCUGCCUGAGAUCACCGCCGGCUACGUCGCUACGCUCCUCAUGUACGACAAACAAAAAAGGCAGAAGCAGCAGCAGUAG
This 378-nucleotide ribosomal RNA is filed under the name Triticum aestivum (bread wheat). RNAcentral's name for it is "partial small subunit ribosomal RNA". Lineage: Eukaryota; Viridiplantae; Streptophyta; Magnoliopsida; Poales; Poaceae. The record is from RNAcentral.